Dendrobium catenatum is the source of this 3792-nucleotide RNA transcript. It is a transcript of the gene named telomere length regulation protein TEL2 homolog, with no coding region annotated. The record is from RefSeq and is a predicted model, not a curated record. The transcript is spliced from 15 exons. Lineage: Eukaryota; Viridiplantae; Streptophyta; Magnoliopsida; Asparagales; Orchidaceae.
UUUUUGAGCGCUAGCGCCAAUCGCAUGCAUUUGGGUGGAGGCUCGCCGGAACUGCAAACGGCCGAAGAGUUCUGUUGGAGUUGCCCUGAUUCCCGAUCCUUCGCCGCCAUUACGAAAUGUAUAAAGGUCCGGAAAAUCCGGUUUAAACGGCUGGGAACGUCAGAACACCGGAGAAGCAAUGGCGAAGCAGGGCGAGGGCACAGUGUCAACCCGCUUGGUGGAAGUCGAAGUAGAAACCCUAAUCCUGCAGAAAGUGGAAGAGGUCUCCUCUUCGAUCGAUUCUGCUAAGCACGUCGAUCAAGUGAUCUGCGCCCUUCAUUCCCUAGCUGUUCUUUUCUUCCAAAUCGAUUCCUCUAUCAUAUUAGGUGCCAUUGAUCCUCAGUACUCUAGCCGGGUGUUGGAUGUUAAAGUUCCGACUGAUUCUGAAAGGGAUGAGUGGAGGCAUGUUUUCUACCACGGUGCUGCCUUUCCUGCCAUGUCUAGGAUGCUUAUAUACAAUGUUACAUCUCAUUGGCUGAGUUCCUUUCCUUUGCCAGCACGCAAGCAAGUUUAUGAUUCAUUCUUUGUGGAAGGUCCCCCAACUGAGAUCAUGCAGACCUUGGUACCUGCUCUCAAGCAAAAUGGAAGCAUUGAUAAGUUUAAGCUCAAGACUAUCCAUUCAAACGUUGAAAGGCUAUUGGUUUUGUGCUUACUUGAAAAAGAAGGGGUACAGCUUAUGGUUUCGGAAUUUGAUCUUCCAUACAGUGGUGUUCGAAAUCUUGGUGAAGUGUUGAAAGCAGAUAGGUCACUGAGUAUAUCGAGAGUAGCACAACUUCUUGCUUCAAUUCCUGACAAAGCAACAUUUGAAGCUCUACCUUCACUUUCAUCAUACUCCUUCGUCCGUUGCAUUAUUAUUCAACUUCUUGAUGGAUCAGAAAAAAGGGCUUUGGAAUUAUAUGAUAGAGUGGAUACGCCCGAUGUAACUACCAUGGAAGGUGGCCUGUUUUUUGUUGGAGAAACUUUUUCACGUAUAUGUAGGCGUGGAUCUGCAGACAUUCUUGCAGAUGAGAUGAUUCCCAGAAUUCUUGAUAUAGUCCAAAGCUGCUUAUCAUCAAAAUCUUAUUCUGCUAUUACUACUGUGUUCGAGAAGUCUUCUAGAUCUAUGUUUUGGUUGAGGAUAGUGGAAGCGAUUAAAGACCGAUAUGCUAUGGAGAGAUUGUCUGAAGUGUUACUCCGGCAGCUUUCAACUAAAAACAUUAGUGAUGUGGAAGCUUAUUGGACUCUCUGGUUGCUGUUUAAUCGGUGCUUCAAGCUUGAAAAUACCAUGAGGGCCAUGUUCGUGGAAAAAUUUUUAAUUUGCAAAAUCUUUCCAGUGUGCUGCCUGAGAUGGAUCAUUCAGUUUUCCAUUCUUGAACAUGCACCGGAUGAUGAUGCAUGCUCAACAAGCCCAAAGAAUAAAAGAUUCUUUGACGUAGUGCAACGCUUAGUUACUGUAUGGUCCAAGCACGAUUUUGUUCAGUCAGCUCGUGUGGAGCAGCAGGCUUACAUAACAGCAGCUGUUGGUUUGUGUUUGGAGAAAAUGACCAAUGAAGAACUAGAAAAAGCUCCAGAAGUAUUGUCGUCUAUUCUUCAAGGAGUCAGCUGUAGGCUGGAGAGCCCGAUUCAUUUAAUUAGAAAAAUGGGUUGUUCUAUUGCUUUAGCAUUCUCUAGAGUAGUGGAUCCAGCAAAGCCCCUCUAUCUGGAUGAUAUCUGCUGUGAAAAUAUUGAUUGGGAAUUUGGGCUUAUUUCUCUAACUAAGAAACAAGAAGCACAUGGAAUCUCUAUUGACAAUGCUGAAUUAAAAAUUUCACAAAGCGAUAGAGGUCAUUCAUAUUUUGAUAAAAAACAGAAGAAUGUGAAAGAUAAAGGAAGCCAAAGCAAAAUUAAGAUUUUAGAGGUGAGAAAGAACGUUUCUGAUAAGAGUAUUGAUCCAGCUUUGCUUAAAAGUGUGCAUGAAGAUGAUGAAGAAGUCAGUGAUGAUGAAAGCAAGCAUUCUGAAGCUUCAAGUGAUUCAUCCUUACAACCUUAUGAUCUUUCUGAUGAUGAUACCGAUUUACAAAAAAGAUUCUCCCAAUUGGCUGAUGUCAGUGCAGCAUUACGAAAACCUGAUGAUCCUGAUGGUAUUGAGAGAGCACUUGAGGUUGCUGAAAAGCUCAUAAGAGCAUCACCUGAUGAACUCCAUCAUAGUUCCGGUGAUCUUGCCCAAGCAUUAGUGCAUGUUCGUUGUACAGAUGCUGCUAUUGAAGGACAGGAAGAUUCUUCUGAAGAGAAGAGGCAAAGGGCCCUCGUUGCUCUGAUUGUGACAUGUCCGUUUGAGUCUUUGGAUGUUCUUACAAAGUUACUUUAUUCCCCAAAUGUGGAUGUUAGUCAACGCAUCUUGAUAAUUGAUAUUAUGACAGAGGCCGCCCAGGAGCUUGCUGAUGCUACUUUCAUUACAAUGAUUGGUCAAUCAAGGAGCUUGAUAUCUUCUAUACAAGAAAAUCAGCCAUGGUUUGUUCCAAGUCGUAUUGGACCUCAUGGAGCAGGUCCAUGGAAGGAGGUUGAGGAAGUCGGAGUGCUAAGUUGGUCUCACAGAUAUGAGAGAGUACUUCCCUCCAGACCAGGGCAAGUCAAGAAAGGGAAAUCACGGAGAUGGAGUCUUGGGAAAACAAGAGAAUCCCAACCAGACCACACAAAGAACAAAUUUCCUUUGUAUGCUGCUGCUUUUAUGCUGCCUGCAAUACAAGGAUAUGACAAAAGGAGGCAUGGCCUUGACUUACUGAACAGGGACUUCAUUGUUCUAGGAAAACUGAUUCACAUGCUUGGUGUGUGUAUGAAUUGCAUUGCUAUGCAUCCAGAAGCAUCGGCCUUGGCUUCCCACCUUCUUGACAUGUUAAGGUCUAGGCAUGUAGCUCAUCACGCAGAAGCAUAUGUUAGAAGUUCUGCCCUUUUUGCAGCCUCGAGCAUUUUAAAAGCUCUGCAUCCAUCGUAUGUGGCAUCUGCUUUGAUUGAAGGCAAUGAUGAAAUUUCUAAUGGGCUGGAGUGGAUCCGCAUAUGGGCUCUUAAGAUUGCUGAAUCUGACCCAGAUACCGAGUGCGCAACUGUAAGUUCCUAAAGAAAUAAUGGCUGAAAGAGAAGAACAUGUUUACAGAAGACGAGGCGCAAAUGACAACAGAUCGAGUAUUCGGGCCGGGUCUUGACACUAGCUAUUUGGUUGGAGUCGCUUCAAUCAGGUCAUCCGGAGGUGAAGGGUAGAGGUUCCGCAUCCCAAGUGGAUAUUCUCUGUGAUGUCAAAGAGGUGAAGAAGCAUGCAAACAGGGAAUGUCGUCAUCGAAGGAGCCUAGUCCAACAUGAAGGCAAAACCGUCGAAGGGAAGUAGUCCAACAGGAAGGCAACGUUGUCGAAGGGGCGAAGUCCAAUAGGAAGGCAACACUGUCGAAGGAGCGAAGUCCAACAGGAAGGCAAUGUCGUCGAAGGGGCGAACUCGAUCAAGGAACGUCGUUGAAGGAGCGAAGUCCAACAGAAAGGAAACACGCCGUUGAAGGGGCUAAGUCGUCAUCGUCGAAGGAGUUGAAUUUCUCUCCCCAACAUUUCGUGUAUUCCUUUUUCGCUCGAAUUUGAGCGGUUUUCCUUUAAACGCAAAAUGAACUGCGAUGGCUAUGAGAUGUCUUCAGCUCCAUUCUGAAAUGGCCCUCCAGACUUCUCGCUCUCUUGAAACUGCACAAUCUUUCAGGUCAAAAGUUAGCAUCUCGCCUUCAAUGAUCAAAGACAUUAUAAUACCUUCCUCAAAUCGGU